RNAcentral lists this ribosomal RNA (567 nucleotides) under Alternaria alternata. Its description in RNAcentral is "eukaryotic LSU rRNA". The stretch from base 202 to 355 matches the Rfam family "5.8S ribosomal RNA". The record is from RNAcentral. Lineage: Eukaryota; Fungi; Ascomycota; Dothideomycetes; Pleosporales; Pleosporaceae.
CUUCGUUAGGGGUACCUGCGGAGGGAUCAUUACGGACUAAAGUAUGAAUGCGGGCUGGAACCUCUCGGGGUUACAGCCUUGCUGAAUUAUUCACCCUUGUCUUUUGCGUACUUCUUGUUUCCUUGGUGGGUUCGCCCACCACUAGGACAAACAUAAACCUUUUGUAAUUGCAAUCAGCGUCAGUAACAAAUUAAUAAUUACAACUUUCAACAACGGAUCUCUUGGUUCUGGCAUCGAUGAAGAACGCAGCGAAAUGCGAUAAGUAGUGUGAAUUGCAGAAUUCAGUGAAUCAUCGAAUCUUUGAACGCACAUUGCGCCCUUUGGUAUUCCAAAGGGCAUGCCUGUUCGAGCGUCAUUUGUACCCUCAAGCUUUGCUUGGUGUUGGGCGUCUUGUCUCUAGCUUUGCUGGAGACUCGCCUUAAAGUAAUUGGCAGCCGGCCUACUGGUUUCGGAGCGCAGCACAAGUCGCACUCUCUAUCAGCAAAGGUCUAGCAUCCAUUAAGCCUUUUUUUCAACUUUUGACCUCGGAUCAGGUAGUGCCGAUACCCGCUGAACUUAAGCAUAUCA